GCUGUCCCCUCCUUUUCAACCAUUUCAUAUCACUGUUUGGUCUUGGAUUUAAAAAAAUAAUGAGACCUGGACAGAUUUGAUGCCAGAGGAAGGUUCAAAGAUACAAUUCCAUCAAUCGAUCCACCCAGAAAGUGCAGCAUUCACAUUCAAGGAAAGUUUACAUGUGAGCUACUUGAUAUGGAACACAUUGGCAGCAUCUACUGUGUGGUUCAUCACAGACUGGUGGAGUUGAAUUGCAUGUGAAGGGAAGUGUGAUCAGACACAAAACCAGGUACUUUGUCAUUUUUGCCAGCAAGAUUAAUAAAGAGAGAAGACACAUUACUGUACGGC
Non-coding RNA from Chiloscyllium plagiosum (whitespotted bambooshark), 330 nucleotides. NCBI's taxonomy places the organism in Eukaryota, Metazoa, Chordata, Chondrichthyes, Orectolobiformes, Hemiscylliidae. The record is from RefSeq and is a predicted model, not a curated record.